RNAcentral lists this long non-coding RNA (199 nucleotides) under Lathyrus oleraceus (garden pea). RNAcentral describes it as "Pisum sativum (pea) long non-coding RNA (PSAT_LNC002146)". Lineage: Eukaryota; Viridiplantae; Streptophyta; Magnoliopsida; Fabales; Fabaceae. The record is from RNAcentral.
AGAUAACUUCAAGUUUGCAAGUUGGUUCAUGGUGGUUGACCAGAGAAAGUCAACUGGUCAAAACUGGGUUUCAUUAGACCCUAUCUUCUACAGUUUGUGUCAUAUGAAAAUGAUUACAAGAGAAACUUUACUUAUUAUGACAUUCCAAACAACUUUAAUGUUAAGUUCAAGAUCUAGUUUUGCUUGGAAAGUCAUUUUU